AUCCAGCUGACGAGUCCCAAGAUUAGACGAAACAAGUUUCCUGUAU
This 46-nucleotide non-coding RNA is filed under the name Schistosoma curassoni. Lineage: Eukaryota; Metazoa; Platyhelminthes; Trematoda; Strigeidida; Schistosomatidae. The record is from RNAcentral.